GAAAUUAAUUCUUUACUUAACCAACAAUGGAACUUGUAAGAGUAAAACGUCUAGUGAUUAUUAUCGCCAUCCUAUCUAUUCAUAUACACUAUGCUCAUAAUUCGCUCUUUCACUGGGACAAAAACGAUAACAGCGAAUGUUUAGUAGAAGGGGACAUUAAAUCACCGUGUAGACAAGAAUGCAGGGAAGAUGAAAAACACGUGAUAGAAGACGCAAAUAACCGUCAAUGCAAUGAUCCCGCCAAGCCAAAAUGUUGUGCUCUAAAGGUCGAAUACAAUAAAAGGAAGAAAGAUGUCUCCAUCAUGGUUUAAGAUGUUGUUCAGUGGCCUUUAUUCGAGAUGUGCGCAGAAUUUCAACCGAGACGAGUACGCAGGUCCACGCGCGUUGUCCUUUACAGCAAAAAGUUACACAUGUGUAGUAUUAUCACCAACUUAGAAACAAUAUAACUAGUCAGUCUGUAGGCAUCCUUUCACCCCGGCCAGCAAUACAGACACAUGCCGCAUGCACAAAAUAUCCCGCAAAACGAAAAAAUGUUGUCAUAGAAAAAAAAGAACAUUUAUGCUUUAGURAAGGAGUGAAUUGAAAGAUAAAAAAGAUCUUUUGUCUAUUCAAUUCAUUUUUACUAAAUACAAAUGUUCAAUUUCUCGAAAAAUUUUUUUUUUCCAAUUAAAUGAAUGUCAGCCAUCUUGACUAAGGUUCAAAAAGACAAAGUAUACUCUCAUCAGAUACUGAAUAAUAAAAAAAUGUACGACCAAUAUAUAAAUACACUUUUACCGGCUUCAUUUGUGUGACGUCUUGCGUGCUAAUUGGCUGAUUAGAGCGCGUCAAUAAAAGGACAUGCAACUGUACACACGUCAUGACCCUGUAAGUCAAGGCACGCUCCUGCGCUUUAAUAAACACAGAAAAACUAUGUAUUUCUCUAGACCUCGACCAUGUCCUGACGCUGUACGUAUGAAAGAUGGUGACUAUAUCAUUGCACCAUUGCUACGCAGGGACUUGUUUUCGGUACAGGCAUCAUUAGACCAGUUCACGUCUGACUGGUCAAUAACCUAUCAAGAUAGAAGAAUGUAUUGUAUAGAGCUUGUCGAUCGCUGAAAAAGAUGUUUUCGCCAUUUACAUUGAAAACCAUCAUGGCGGCCAUCGCGAAAUAGGACUCUCCACUUGGUGCUGUAACCAACAAUUAUCUCUUGAUCGUUUUCACAUGAGAUUCAAAAGACCGGCGGCCAUGUUAGUUGAAGGAAUGAACAAUAUAUCA
Molecule: long non-coding RNA, 1255 nt
Organism: Exaiptasia diaphana
Lineage: Eukaryota; Metazoa; Cnidaria; Anthozoa; Actiniaria; Aiptasiidae
Exons: 3
Source: RefSeq, a predicted model, not a curated record